AGAGUUUGAUCCUGGCUCAGGAUGCAUUCUAGCGGCAGGCUUAACACAUGCAAGUCGAGGGGCAGCGGGGAGGAAGCUUGCUUUCUCCGCCGGCGACCGGCGCACGGGUGAGUAACACGUAUGCAACCUGCCCCUGUCAGGGGGACAACCCGCCGAAAGGCGGGCUAAACCCGCGUACAUGCCACCGGGGCAUCCCGGAGGCAGGAAAGGCUUCGGCCGGACAGGGAUGGGCAUGCGGCGCAUUAGGCAGUAGGCGGGGUAACGGCCCACCUAACCGACGAUGCGUAGGGGUUCUGAGAGGAAGGUCCCCCACACUGGUACUGAGACACGGACCAGACUCCUACGGGAGGCAGCAGUGAGGAAUAUUGGUCAAUGGUCGGGAGACUGAACCAGCCAAGCCGCGUGAGGGAGGAAGGUACAGAGUAUCGUAAACCUCUUUUGUCAGGGAACAAAGACUGGGACGCGUCCCCGGAUGAGUGUACCUGAAGAAAAAGCAUCGGCUAACUCCGUGCCAGCAGCCGCGGUAAUACGGAGGAUGCGAGCGUUAUCCGGAUUUAUUGGGUUUAAAGGGUGCGCAGGCGGUCUGUUAAGUCAGCGGUCAAAGCCCGGGGCUCAACCCCGGCCCGCCGUUGAAACUGGCAGUCUCGAGUUUGAGAGAAGUAUGCGGAAUGCGCGGUGUAGCGGUGAAAUGCAUAGAUAUCGCGCAGAACUCCGAUUGCGAAGGCAGCAUGCCGGCUCCACACUGACGCUGAGGCACGAAAGCGUGGGUAUCGAACAGAAUUAGAUACCCUGGUAGUCCACGCCGUAAACGAUGAUUACUAGGUGUCGGUGGGUAUGGACCCAUAGCUGCCGCAGCAAACGCAGUAAGUAAUCCACCUGUGGAGUACGUUCGCAAGAAUGAAACUCAAAGGAAUAGACGGGGACCCGCACAAGCGGUGAAGCAUGUGGUUUAAUCCGAAGCAACGCGAAGAUCCUUACCAAGUCUUGACAUCCUCUGGAAUAAAGGGUAAUACCUUUAGGCCUUCGGGACAAGAGAGACAGGUGGUGCAUGGUUGUUGUCAGCUCGUGUCGUGAGAUGUUGGGUUAAGUCCUGCAACGAGCGCAACCGUUCAUUCUUAGUUGCUACGCAAGUGCAUUCUAGCGAGACGGCCGUUGACAAAACGGAGGAAGGUGGGGACGACGUCAAAUCAUCAUUCCCCUUAUGUCCUGGGCCACACACGUAAUACAAUGGUGGUCAACAGAGGGAAGCAAUCCCCCGAGGUGGAGCAAAUCCCUAAAACCCAUCCCAGUUGGGAUCGCAGGCUGC
Molecule: ribosomal RNA, 1306 nt
Filed under: uncultured bacterium
Lineage: Bacteria
Description: bacterial SSU rRNA
Rfam family: Bacterial small subunit ribosomal RNA
Source: RNAcentral